UAGAAUUGUCACAACCGUGAA
Molecule: non-coding RNA, 21 nt
Organism: Caenorhabditis elegans
Lineage: Eukaryota; Metazoa; Nematoda; Chromadorea; Rhabditida; Rhabditidae
Source: Ensembl